CUAGAAUAUAUAAUUAAAAUUAAUAUAUAUACUAAUUUGUAGAAUUUUUCAGAUUCCAGAUGUGAAGAGUACUGGUGUUCAAAGUGUAAUGUUCAAUAUCCAGGGAAACGAAAUUUAAAAGAACAUUUGGCACUUUAUUGCAAUCGCCCUCCACGUUUUCAGUGUCCUUAUUGUCCCGUUUGUAUGAGACAAAGAUCAAAUGUUUACAAACAUAUUCGAAGUCAACAUAAAGGAAAUAGUAUUUAUAUUAUUUCAUCACAAGAAGCAAUCGUCAAAAAAAAUACGUUUGCGCUGAAUGCAACAAGGCUUAUGUGAACGAUAGGGAUUUACGAAGACAUCAAAAAUAUGUUUGUGGUGGGAAAUUACCACAAUUUCAAUGUCCAUUUUGUCCACAAAAAGCAAUUUUUAGAUGGUUACUUUCUGUUCACGUAAGAACUGUACAUCCAGAAAAUGUUGUUAAUUUAGAACAAUAAUUUUUAAAAAAUAAUUUAUUUAUUACAUUCUGUGUGUGUGUGUGUGCGAGCUAAAUGUAAAAUUUCAAUAAAUUACAAUUUUUAAUAUAA
Molecule: long non-coding RNA, 563 nt
Organism: Leptopilina boulardi
Lineage: Eukaryota; Metazoa; Arthropoda; Insecta; Hymenoptera; Figitidae
Exons: 2
Source: RefSeq, a predicted model, not a curated record